GGCUUUAUAGUCUAAAUAAAGAUGUUAGAUUGCAAGUCUAAAGAUGUAAUUUUACUAAGGCUU
RNAcentral lists this transfer RNA (63 nucleotides) under Epeorus herklotsi. RNAcentral's name for it is "tRNA-Cys". It matches the Rfam family "tRNA". From Rfam's summary of the family: Transfer RNA (tRNA) molecules are approximately 80 nucleotides in length. Lineage: Eukaryota; Metazoa; Arthropoda; Insecta; Ephemeroptera; Heptageniidae. The record is from RNAcentral.